GUUCUCCGCAUCAGAACCUCCAUCUCGGUUGGCUCUGGGACUUCCAGCAUGUUUUGGUUCGACCGAUGGGCUGGGGACUGCCCAUUCGCUGCCAGGUUCCCGAAUCUGUUCUCCAUUGUGGUGGAGCCUAGGAUAUAUGUCGAGUCGGCCCUUAUUGACUUAGGGUGUCCUGCGUUUUGGCGGCCAUUUGGGCCCCCGGAAAUAGCCUCCUGGCAUGAGCUCUUGGAGGCCGUUGCCCUCCACGAGCCUGAUUUGUCGCAGCCUCAUGACCGCCUAUCCUAGCGCCUCGAGCCCUCGGGCCGGUUCUCCAUGAAGUCCCUAUACUAGGCCAUCGCUCCUCCGCUGGACCGGCGGCCCUUGAUGAUCUGGGCUAUCCGUGUGCCCCUCAAGAUCAGGAUCUUCAUGUGGCAAUGGAUCCGCGGCCGACUCCCCUUCGGCGUUGAGGUGUUAAAACAGAAUGGCCCGGGCGAUGGGAUGUGUCCCCUCUGCGGGAGGAGGAAACCUUGA
This 507-nucleotide ribosomal RNA is filed under the name Triticum aestivum (bread wheat). RNAcentral's name for it is "partial small subunit ribosomal RNA". The record is from RNAcentral. Lineage: Eukaryota; Viridiplantae; Streptophyta; Magnoliopsida; Poales; Poaceae.